RNAcentral lists this ribosomal RNA (838 nucleotides) under uncultured bacterium. RNAcentral's name for it is "bacterial SSU rRNA". It matches the Rfam family "Bacterial small subunit ribosomal RNA", at positions 524 to 1381 of the family's 1533-position model. The record is from RNAcentral.
UACGAGGGAUGCAAGCGUUAUCCGGAAUUAUUGGGCGUAAAGCGUUUGUAGGCGGGCGAGUGUGUUUAAUGUUAAAUCUUAAAGCUCAACUUUGAAAUUGCGUUAAAAACUGCUUGUCUUGAGUAUGGUAGGGGUAAAGGGAAUUCCCAGUGUAGCGGUGAAAUGCGUAGAUAUUGGGAAGAACACUAAACAGCGAAGGCACUUUACUAGGCUAAUACUGACGCUGAGAAACGAAAGGUAAGGUAGCGAAACGGAUUAGAUACCCGUGUAGUCUUACCCGUAAACUAUGGACACUAAACGGUAAAUUUUUAAUUUACUGUUAAAGCUAACGCGUUAAGUGUCCCGCCUGGGGAGUAUGCUUGCAAAAGUGAAACUCAAAGGAAUUGACGGGGGCCCGCACAAGCGGUGGAGCAUGUGGUUUAAUUCGACGGUACACGAAGAACCUUACCAGGAUUUGACAUGCUAGAUAGUUGCUUGAAAGAGUAACGUGCCGUAAGGAAUCUAGACACAGGUGGUGCAUGGCUGUCGUCAGUUCGUGUUGUGAAAUGUUGGGUUAAGUCCCGCAACGAACGUAACCCUUGUCUUUAGUUAUUUUCUAAAGAGACUGCCUGUAAUAAACAGGAGGAAGGUAAGGAUGAGGUCAAGUCAUCAUGCCCCUUAUGUCCUGGGCUACACACGUGCUACAAUGGGAAAGACAAUGAGCUGCAAAUCUGUAAAUUUAAGCAAAUCUCUUAAACUUUCUCGUAGUUCGGAUUGUGGGCUGCAACUCGCCCACAUGAAGUUGGAAUCGCUAGUAAUCGCCAGUCAGCUAUAUGGCGGUGAAUCCGUUCCCGGGCCU